AUUUCUCUUUUCUCACUCUCUCGGCACUCUCUCUCCUCCUCUCCUCCGAAAAACUUCCUCCUCUCUUCUCUCUUCGAUUUCAUCUACCUAGGGGGUGAUUCCGGACAAGGUCCGAGAAUUAAAGUUGUUAUACGGUGCAUGGGCUUUCCGAAUAUCCAAGAAAAAUCAUGAUCGGACCGCGUGGGAGCUUGGUUGACUUGGUCAAAGGUUCGGGUUUUGCUCAAAACCCAUGAGGUACGAUUCAAGGAAGUUGACAUGGAGUACAUGUUGUGCAUUUGUGACCAAACCUUUAAAAAGGUAUUCAAGAAGGAUUUCAUAGCACAAGAUCUGAAAGAGCAUUUUUUUUUGGAAAGAUAGUAUUUGUAAAUUGUAAUAAUAUUUCCCUAGGAUAUUGGUAUUUUGAUGAUUUAGGGCCUUCGAGUUAGAAUGUAAUAUUUGUUUUAUUUGAGAACAGUGAACAAAAAGAUCUUUUGGGGUAUUAUUUGUAUUACAGCGAGGACUUUAUUUAUUAAAAAUGUUUAUUAUUUAUGUUGAAAAUUGAGGGCGUGACACAGCCCGAGGUAUUUGGAUGCCUAAUGCCUAUUCUAAGAAUGAUGCCCUAAACGCUGAUAAGUGGCUAAGAUUGUAAAGUCUUGGCGCCUAAAAUCCUUUAAUUUGUAGCGUUUGAUUCCCUAAUUUAUUAUUUUUAUUCCAUUUUGCACGUAAGGUUGUGUUUUGAUAGUUUCAGGAAAUACGUGGCAUUAAGGCGGUUUUUAUCGCUAAGGGUUGCUGUCGGAAGUAUUAAAGCAUCCAAGGCCUUGUGGCGGCGCCCCAUCAAGUCCCGUCGGGUGAUUAAUGAAGAAGGGAGAGAGCGUUGGGUCGUCGUCGGGCUGUUAAGACCAAGGCAGGCACAAAGACAGUUUUCUGCCAUGUAUGAACCGGUACUGGGGGUUGCCCAGUACCGGUCUGUGAUGAUAAGAGUUUUUGGCAGAUUUUUGAAGGCUAUGAACCGGUACGAGGAGUUGGCCAGUAUCGGUACAUACUGCAGAAAAUGUUCACGUUUUUGCUACAUUUUCACUUUUGGGAUAUUUUUCACUUUUGGCUACUUUUAGGAUAUUUUUGAGAUAUUUUGUGAGAGAAGAAGCCACCUUGUAUAAAUAGGGCUUCCUUCUCUCUUCUUGAGGAUCUCUUGUCAUAUAUCACUUUAAGUCUUUUAAAUUUUUAGAACUCCAUUAAAAGCUCUCAAGCUUUUGUGUUAAUUUCUUCAAGAACUCCUUAAGGUAUUUAUCGUUUGUUAAUUUCUCGUUUAUUAAAGUUGCUUGUACGGACUAGAUCUUUGGUAAUAUCAAGUUUGUUUUCAAUUUCUUCGGUUAAAA
Molecule: long non-coding RNA, 1355 nt
Organism: Rhododendron vialii
Lineage: Eukaryota; Viridiplantae; Streptophyta; Magnoliopsida; Ericales; Ericaceae
Exons: 2
Source: RefSeq, a predicted model, not a curated record